RNAcentral lists this ribosomal RNA (408 nucleotides) under Liagora ceranoides. Its description in RNAcentral is "bacterial LSU rRNA". It matches the Rfam family "Bacterial large subunit ribosomal RNA", at positions 2078 to 2485 of the family's 2925-position model. Lineage: Eukaryota; Rhodophyta; Florideophyceae; Nemaliales; Liagoraceae. The record is from RNAcentral.
GGACAGAAAGACCCUAUGAAGCUUUACUGUAACUUGGAAUUGGAUUUGGGCUUUUCUUGCGCAGCAUAGGUGGGAGGCAUUGAUGUCAGGUUUGUGGAUCUGAUGGAGCCAUCAAUGAGAUACCACUCUGGAAAAGCUAAAAUUCUAACUUUGAGCCGUUAUCCGGCCAAAGAACAGUUUCAGGUGGGCAGUUUGACUGGGGCGGUCGCCUCCUAAAAAGUAACGGAGGCGUGCAAAGGUUCCCUCAGACUGGUCGGAAAUCAGUCGUAGAGUGUAAAGGCAUAAGGGAGCUUGACUGCAAGACCUACAAGUCGAGCAGAGACGAAAGUCGGCCUUAGUGAUCCGACAGUGCCGAGUGGAAGGGCUGUCGCUCAACGGAUAAAAGUUACUCUAGGGAUAACAGGCUGA